Molecule: transfer RNA, 73 nt
Filed under: Lachnospiraceae bacterium
Lineage: Bacteria; Bacillati; Bacillota; Clostridia; Lachnospirales; Lachnospiraceae
Also listed under: 1 other name
Description: tRNA-Asn
Rfam family: tRNA
About the family: Transfer RNA (tRNA) molecules are approximately 80 nucleotides in length. Their secondary structure includes four short double-helical elements and three loops (D, anti-codon, and T loops).
Source: RNAcentral
GGCCUUAUAGCUCAAUCGGUAGAGCGGUGCGCUGUUAACGCAAAGGUUAUAGGUUCAAGUCCUAUUGGGGUCG